This 464-nucleotide ribosomal RNA is filed under the name uncultured bacterium. Its description in RNAcentral is "bacterial SSU rRNA". It matches the Rfam family "Bacterial small subunit ribosomal RNA", at positions 28 to 507 of the family's 1533-position model. The record is from RNAcentral.
GACGAACGCUGGCGGCGUGCCUAACACAUGCAAGUCGAACGGAGAUAUGAUUUCGGUUGUAUCUUAGUGGCGAACGGGUGAGUAACGCGUGAGCAACCUGACUCUUAGAGGGGGAUAACACCCGGAAACGAGUGCUAAUACCGCAUAAGACCACGACAUGGCAUCAUGACGAGGUCAAAGGAGCAAUCCGCUGAGAGAGGGGCUCGCGUCCCAUUAGAUAGAUGGCGGGGUAAUGGCCCACCAUGUCAGCGAUGGGUAGCCGAGCUGAGAGGCUGAUCGGCCACACUGGAACUGAGACACGGUCCAGACUCCUACGGGAGGCAGCAGUGGGGAAUAUUGGGCAAUGGGCGCAAGCCUGACCCAGCAACGCCGCGUGAGGGAAGAAGGCUUUCGGGUUGUAAACCUCUGUCCUUGGUGACGAAAAAAUGACGGUAGCCAAGGAGGAAGCCCCGGCUAACUACGUG